RNAcentral lists this ribosomal RNA (1454 nucleotides) under Lacticaseibacillus casei. RNAcentral's name for it is "Lactobacillus casei 16S ribosomal RNA". It matches the Rfam family "Bacterial small subunit ribosomal RNA". RNAcentral also lists the same sequence under 1 other name. The record is from RNAcentral. Lineage: Bacteria; Bacillati; Bacillota; Bacilli; Lactobacillales; Lactobacillaceae.
GGCGGCGUGCUAAUACAUGCAAGUCGAACGAGUUCUCGUUGAUGAUCGGUGCUUGCACCGAGAUUCAACAUGGAACGAGUGGCGGACGGGUGAGUAACACGUGGGUAACCUGCCCUUAAGUGGGGGAUAACAUUUGGAAACAGAUGCUAAUACCGCAUAGAUCCAAGAACCGCAUGGUUCUUGGCUGAAAGAUGGCGUAAGCUAUCGCUUUUGGAUGGACCCGCGGCGUAUUAGCUAGUUGGUGAGGUAAUGGCUCACCAAGGCGAUGAUACGUAGCCGAACUGAGAGGUUGAUCGGCCACAUUGGGACUGAGACACGGCCCAAACUCCUACGGGAGGCAGCAGUAGGGAAUCUUCCACAAUGGACGCAAGUCUGAUGGAGCAACGCCGCGUGAGUGAAGAAGGCUUUCGGGUCGUAAAACUCUGUUGUUGGAGAAGAAUGGUCGGCAGAGUAACUGUUGUCGGCGUGACGGUAUCCAACCAGAAAGCCACGGCUAACUACGUGCCAGCAGCCGCGGUAAUACGUAGGUGGCAAGCGUUAUCCGGAUUUAUUGGGCGUAAAGCGAGCGCAGGCGGUUUUUUAAGUCUGAUGUGAAAGCCCUCGGCUUAACCGAGGAAGCGCAUCGGAAACUGGGAAACUUGAGUGCAGAAGAGGACAGUGGAACUCCAUGUGUAGCGGUGAAAUGCGUAGAUAUAUGGAAGAACACCAGUGGCGAAGGCGGCUGUCUGGUCUGUAACUGACGCUGAGGCUCGAAAGCAUGGGUAGCGAACAGGAUUAGAUACCCUGGUAGUCCAUGCCGUAAACGAUGAAUGCUAGGUGUUGGAGGGUUUCCGCCCUUCAGUGCCGCAGCUAACGCAUUAAGCAUUCCGCCUGGGGAGUACGACCGCAAGGUUGAAACUCAAAGGAAUUGACGGGGGCCCGCACAAGCGGUGGAGCAUGUGGUUUAAUUCGAAGCAACGCGAAGAACCUUACCAGGUCUUGACAUCUUUUGAUCACCUGAGAGAUCAGGUUUCCCCUUCGGGGGCAAAAUGACAGGUGGUGCAUGGUUGUCGUCAGCUCGUGUCGUGAGAUGUUGGGUUAAGUCCCGCAACGAGCGCAACCCUUAUGACUAGUUGCCAGCAUUUAGUUGGGCACUCUAGUAAGACUGCCGGUGACAAACCGGAGGAAGGUGGGGAUGACGUCAAAUCAUCAUGCCCCUUAUGACCUGGGCUACACACGUGCUACAAUGGAUGGUACAACGAGUUGCGAGACCGCGAGGUCAAGCUAAUCUCUUAAAGCCAUUCUCAGUUCGGACUGUAGGCUGCAACUCGCCUACACGAAGUCGGAAUCGCUAGUAAUCGCGGAUCAGCACGCCGCGGUGAAUACGUUCCCGGGCCUUGUACACACCGCCCGUCACACCAUGAGAGUUUGUAACACCCGAAGCCGGUGGCGUAACCCUUUUAGGGAGCGAGCCU